RNAcentral lists this transfer RNA (70 nucleotides) under Camelus bactrianus (Bactrian camel). It matches the Rfam family "tRNA". Rfam says of the family: Transfer RNA (tRNA) molecules are approximately 80 nucleotides in length. Their secondary structure includes four short double-helical elements and three loops (D, anti-codon, and T loops). Lineage: Eukaryota; Metazoa; Chordata; Mammalia; Artiodactyla; Camelidae. RNAcentral also lists the same sequence under 2 other names. The record is from Rfam by way of RNAcentral.
GGGUAUAGCUCCAUGGUAGAGCACAUGCUUAGCAUGCACAGUGUUCUGGGUUCAAUCCCCAGUACCUUCA